This 253-nucleotide ribosomal RNA is filed under the name uncultured bacterium. Its description in RNAcentral is "partial 16S ribosomal RNA". It matches the Rfam family "Bacterial small subunit ribosomal RNA", at positions 524 to 776 of the family's 1533-position model. The record is from RNAcentral.
UACGUAGGGGGCAAGCGUUGUCCGGAUUCAUUGGGCGUAAAGAGCGUGUAGGCGGCCAGGUAGGUCGGUUGUGAAAACUGGAGGCUCAACCUUCAGAGGUCGAUCGAUACCAUCUGGCUAGAGUCCGGGAGAGGAGAGUGGAAUUCCUGGUGUAGCGGUGAAAUGCGCAGAUAUCAGGAAGAACACCCGUGGCGAAAGCGGCUCUCUGGAACGGUACUGACGCUGAGACGCGAAAGCGUGGGGAGCGAACAGG